This 71-nucleotide transfer RNA is filed under the name Pirellulales bacterium. Its description in RNAcentral is "tRNA-Gln". It matches the Rfam family "tRNA". Rfam says of the family: Transfer RNA (tRNA) molecules are approximately 80 nucleotides in length. Their secondary structure includes four short double-helical elements and three loops (D, anti-codon, and T loops). Lineage: Bacteria; Pseudomonadati; Planctomycetota; Planctomycetia; Pirellulales. The record is from RNAcentral.
UGGGGAAUGGUGUAACGGUAGCACGGCUGGCUCUGAACCAGUUAGUCCAGGUUCAAAUCCUGGUUCCCCAG